AAGACCUUGCGCUUUUGGAGCGGCCGAUGUCUGAUUAGCUUGUUGGUAAGGUAAAAGCUUACCAAGGCUUCGAUCAGUAGCUGGUCUGAGAGGACGACCAGCCACACUGGGACUGAGACACGGCCCAGACUCCUACGGGAGGCAGCAGUGGGGAAUUUUGGACAAUGGGGGCAACCCUGAUCCAGCCAUGCCGCGUGAGUGAAGAAGGCCUUCGGGUUGUAAAGCUCUUUCAGCCGGAACGAAACGGUUACGGUUAAUACCCGUGACUACUGACGGUACCGGAAGAAGAAGCACCGGCUAACUACGUGCCAGCAGCCGCGGUAAUACGUAGGGUGCGAGCGUUAAUCGGAAUUACUGGGCGUAAAGGGUGCGCAGGCGGUUUUGUAAGUCAGAUGUGAAAUCCCCGGGCUUAACCUGGGAACU
Molecule: ribosomal RNA, 423 nt
Filed under: uncultured bacterium
Lineage: Bacteria
Description: bacterial SSU rRNA
Rfam family: Bacterial small subunit ribosomal RNA
Source: RNAcentral